GCCAUUUCGGGGCCGCGCGCCUUUGGGCGCGAGAUUACCUCAGGGCGUAGGGGCUGCGCGGCUCAGCGCGGGAAAGAGCUGGGCUCUUGAGGAAGGUCGAUUAAAGCCAUAAACCAGGAGUAAGAUUUAGUGAGAUCUUAAAGAAAUGCUCCUUGAAGACCAGCUAGAACAACUUUUCCAAACACUGCCAGACUGUUCAACAUUCCUGUGUACAGUGAGGAGACAGUCACAAUAGGCAUUUUAGACUGCAGAUUGAGAGACACGAGGACAGCUAGCCAAGAACAGCGUGAACAAGAAAGACUUUUUCCAGCAAUAAGCUCGCCUGCCUGUUUGUCUGGUAAAGGAGCGGUGCACCUAACCAACACAUGGUUUACUUAGGAAGGAAUACUACCUUUUUACUGUUGUAACAAACUUAAGUAAUACUACAUAGUUAUAGUCUCAAAUCUGAAAUUCAGUUCUGGGAAUGGAAGGUUUCCCUAAAACCUGCAAAGCCGGCAAAAAUUGCACAUGCAGAAACAAAAUACUGGAUUUUUGUUAAGAAGAAGCAAAUUAUUACAUGUGAAGUAGAGGUAUCUUGUUACAUUUCUACCAGAAAUAGACAUGAAAAAGUUCAUAAAUAGUUUAAUAAAUUAACCAACCUUUUUGAGA
Molecule: long non-coding RNA, 648 nt
Organism: Gallus gallus (chicken)
Lineage: Eukaryota; Metazoa; Chordata; Aves; Galliformes; Phasianidae
Exons: 3
Source: RefSeq, a predicted model, not a curated record